RNAcentral lists this ribosomal RNA (1246 nucleotides) under uncultured bacterium. RNAcentral describes it as "bacterial SSU rRNA". It matches the Rfam family "Bacterial small subunit ribosomal RNA", at positions 55 to 1346 of the family's 1533-position model. The record is from RNAcentral.
UUGCGAGUCUGAGAAGUGAAGAGUGAGAGAUGUCGGCGAGCGGCGGACGGCUGAGUAACGCGUGGGAACGUGCCCCAAAGUGAGGGAUAAGCACCGGAAACGGUGUCUAAUACCGCAUAUGAUCUUCGGAUUAAAGUAUUUAUACGCUUUGGGAGCGGCCCGCGUCGGAUUAGGUUGUUGGUAGGGUAACGGCCUACCAAGCCCACGAUCCGUAGCUGGUCUGAGAGGAUGACCAGCCAGACUGGAACUGAGACACGGUCCAGACUCCUACGGGAGGCAGCAGUGAGGAAUCUUCCACAAUGGGGGCAACCCUGAUGGAGCAACGCCGCGUGCAGGAUGAAGGCCUUCGGGUCGUAAACUGCUUUUAUAAGUGAGGAAUAUGACGGUAACUUAUGAAUAAGGAUCGGCUAACUACGUGCCAGCAGCCGCGGUCAUACGUAGGAUCCGAGCGUUAUCCGGAGUGACUGGGCGUAAAGAGUUGCGUAGGUGGUCGUAUAAGCGAAUAGUGAAAUCUGGUGGCUCAACCAUACAGGCUAUUAUUCGAACUGUACGACUCGAGAAUGGUAGAGGUAACUGGAAUUUCUAGUGUAGGAGUGAAAUCCGUAGAUAUUAGAAGGAACACCAAUGGCGUAGGCAGGUUACUGGACCAUUUCUGACACUGAGGCACGAAAGCGUGGGGAGCGAACCGGAUUAGAUACCCGGGUAGUCCACGCCGUAAACUAUGGAUACUAGCUGUUGGAGGUAUCGACCCCUCCAGUAGCGAAGCUAACGCGUUAAGUAUCCCGCCUGUGGAGUACGGUCGCAAGACUAAAACAUAAAGGAAUUGACGGGGACCCGCACAAGCGGUGGAUCGUGUUCCUUAAUUCGAUGAUAAACGAAGAACCUUACCAGGGCUUGACAUCCAGGGAAGGACUGCGAAAGUAGUCUGUGCCUUUUGGAACCCUGUGACAGGUGAUGCAUGGCCGUCGUCAGCUCGUGUCGUGAGAUGUUUGGGUUAAGUCCAUCAACGAGCGCAACCCCUGUACUUAGUUGUAUUUUUCUAGGUAGACUGCCCCGGUAACGGGGAGGAAGGAGGGGAUGAUGUCAGGUCAGUAUUUCCCUUACGUCCUGGGCUAGAAACACGAUACAAUGGCUAAUACAAUGCGCAGCAAAGCCGCGAGGUGGAGCAAAUCGCAUCAAAGUUAGUCCCAGUUCGGAUUGGAGGCUGAAACUCGCCUCCAUGAAGUCGGAAUCGCUAGUAAUCGCA